CUCGAUGCAUUGCGUCGAGGUAGUGAGCUUGUUCGAUACUUACCAUAACGACUCCCGGCAACGGAUAUCUCGGCUCUCGCAUCGAUGAAGAACGUAGCGAAAUGCGAUACAUGGUGUGAAUUGCAGGAUCCCGUGAACCAUCGAGUUUUUGAACGCAAGUUGCGCCCGAAGCCGUUAGGCCGAGGGCACGCCUGCCUGGGCGUCACGCA
This 209-nucleotide ribosomal RNA is filed under the name Laportea grossa. RNAcentral describes it as "5.8S ribosomal RNA". The stretch from base 50 to 205 matches the Rfam family "5.8S ribosomal RNA". Rfam says of the family: 5.8S ribosomal RNA (5.8S rRNA) is a component of the large subunit of the eukaryotic ribosome. It is transcribed by RNA polymerase I as part of the 45S precursor that also contains 18S and 28S rRNA. Lineage: Eukaryota; Viridiplantae; Streptophyta; Magnoliopsida; Rosales; Urticaceae. The record is from RNAcentral.